Molecule: ribosomal RNA, 253 nt
Filed under: uncultured bacterium
Lineage: Bacteria
Description: partial 16S ribosomal RNA
Rfam family: Bacterial small subunit ribosomal RNA
Source: RNAcentral
UACGGAGGGGGCUAGCGUUGUUCGGAAUUACUGGGCGUAAAGCGCACGUAGGCGGCUUUGUAAGUUAGAGGUGAAAGCCCAGGGCUUAACCCUGGAAUUGCCUUUAAGACUGCAUCGCUAGAAUUGUGGAGAGGUAAGUGGAAUUCCGAGUGUAGAGGUGAAAUUCGUAGAUAUUCGGAAGAACACCAGUGGCGAAGGCGACUUACUGGACACAUAUUGACGCUGAGGUGCGAAAGCGUGGGGAGCGAACAGG